GCCAGCUGCCAUAUCACUCUGGAACUCACAACUGCAACUGACUGAAGCUAAGCAGAUGUGAGCCUGGUCAGUACCUGAAUGGGAGACUCCUGGGAAAAACUAAGGUUGCUGCUAGAA
RNAcentral lists this ribosomal RNA (117 nucleotides) under Lepisosteus oculatus (spotted gar). Lineage: Eukaryota; Metazoa; Chordata; Actinopteri; Semionotiformes; Lepisosteidae. The record is from RNAcentral.